AUGAUUGUCUUGUAAUUGGAAUGAACCAAAUUUAAUAUCCAUGAUAAGUACCAAUUGGAGGGCAAGUCUGGUGCCAGCAGCCGCGGUAAUUCCAGCUCCAAUAGCGUAUAUUAAAGUUGUUGCAGUUAAAAAGCUCGUAGUUGAAUUUCUGGUGGGAGUGUACAGUCCGACACUGAGUGUUGGUUCUUGUGUGUCUCCGGCCAUCCUUGGAGUGAAUCUAUCUGGCAUUCAGUUGUUGGGUAGAGUAUCUCCAUCGUUUACUGUGAGGAAAGGAAAGUGUUCAAAGCAGGCUUACGCCGUUGAAUCUUUUAGCAUGGAAUAAUAAGAUAGGAUCUUGAUACUAUUUUGUUGGUUUGCGUGUCGAGAUAAUGAUCAAUAGGGACAGUUGGGGGUAUUUGUAUUCCAUAGUCAGAGGUGAAAUUCUUGGAUUUAUGGAAGACAAACUAAUGCGAAAGCAUUUACCAAGGAUGUUUUCAUUAAUCAAGAACGAAAGUUAGGGGAUCGAAGAUGAUUAGAUACCAUCGUAGUCUUAACCAUAAACUAUGCCGACAAGGGAUUGGUGGAGUCUCGUUAUGUCUCCAUCAGCACCUUAUGAGAAAUCACAAGUCUU
Molecule: ribosomal RNA, 610 nt
Filed under: uncultured diatom
Lineage: Eukaryota; Bacillariophyta
Description: bacterial SSU rRNA
Rfam family: Eukaryotic small subunit ribosomal RNA
Source: RNAcentral